UACGUAGGGUGCGAGCGUUAUCCGGAUUCACUGGGUUUAAAGGGAGCGUAGGUGGGCAGGUAAGUCAGUGGUGAAAUUCCCGAGCUUAACUUGGGAACUGCCAUUGAUACUAUCAGUCUUGAAUACCGUGGAGGUUAGCGGAAUAUGUCAUGUAGCGGUGAAAUGCUUAGAUAUGACAUAGAACACCAAUUGCGAAGGCAGCUGGCUACACGAAUAUUGACACUGAGGCACGAAAGCGUGGGGAUCAAACAGG
Molecule: ribosomal RNA, 253 nt
Filed under: uncultured bacterium
Lineage: Bacteria
Description: partial 16S ribosomal RNA
Rfam family: Bacterial small subunit ribosomal RNA
Source: RNAcentral